CUGUUUUGAUUUGGAAACUACUC
RNAcentral lists this non-coding RNA (23 nucleotides) under Rattus norvegicus (Norway rat). The record is from RNAcentral. Lineage: Eukaryota; Metazoa; Chordata; Mammalia; Rodentia; Muridae.